CUGUAUUUUCAGAGAAAUGGCAGUGUUUAUAUUGCCCCUAGGGACACCUCCAAGAUGGCCACUGGAGGCACUUCCUGGCUCAGUGCUGCACAGAAGGCCGCUCUGCCAUUCAGCGUCUCCACGCUCUGCAUGGGGACGCUGAAUUUUCCUCAGAGAUUCAUUGAUUCAAUGCAUCUCUAUAAGGAGGUGCUGAUUGGCCAAAACAGUUUGGCCCCACCCCCUUGCCCAAUUUUAGCCAGUCCAAUGCAUUCCCCAUGGGAUUCUCAAAAAAAUAGGCAAGUCUGUCACCAAUGGGGCGAGCGCCGGCGGACCUGCACGGCACUGGAAAUAAGGUAAGUUUUUUUUAUUAACUUUUAAGGGGGGCCAAGCAACCUAAAUGGUGGGUUUUGCACUAUAGGGUCAGGUAUACAUGUGUGUUCCUGACACUAUAGUGUUCCUUUAAAUGGUUUUUUUUUUUUUUUGGUUCAAUUUAAAUUAUUUAUCUAUCAUUAAAGGGACACUAUAGUCACCCAGACCACUUCAGCUCAAUGAAGUGGUCUGGGUGCCAGGUCCCUCAGGUUUUAACCCUGCAGAUGCAAACAUAGCAGUUUCAGAGAAAUAUUAUGCCUCCAUCAUGCAGAGCGUCUAUAGGAAAGCAUUGGGAAAUGCUUUCCUAUGGACACUUUGAAUGCGCGCGUGGCACUCUGGAUCCAUCGCAUCUAGAGUACCCCACUGACGUCAACACAGACCCUCUAUUCUGGAUCUAAGAAGCACCAGCACUUUAAAACCAACUCGCUACAUAGGAGGCUUGAAUUAGCCACAACUUUUUAUGCUGUGCAAGACUGAAACCAACAGAGAAUAUUGGUGAGAUCUACCCAUAUAUUAUUAAUACAGGACAUAUAUUUGGUGUGUACACACUAGGACUGUAAAUAUUUUUAAUUUUUUAAAAUAUAUUUUUAAUUUUUCAUAUUUCAACCAAUUAAUAUAAGGUCUUCUCGCCAGGAAGAAAUUUGGUCCUAAUUGUAUUGAGGACUCUCAGCUAUACAGUGUGAUUUAAGCAACAAUUAUAACUGAUACUGUCUGACUGUAUUGGGGCUUUGAUUCAUGUCUGGUGUUUUAUUGAGAUAAACACAAGAGUUAUAGGGGCAUGAGGUGUAUAUUACGAAUUGUAUAUAUCAUAGUAGCUUAAGUCAUUAUUUGUUAAGAUAUGGCAAUAGAAUAAAUAAGCAUUUUUCUUAGUGUGUGUGUGUGUG
This is a non-coding RNA of Pelobates cultripes (western spadefoot toad), 1232 nucleotides long. The record is from the annotation of a GenBank genome assembly. Lineage: Eukaryota; Metazoa; Chordata; Amphibia; Anura; Pelobatidae.